This 252-nucleotide ribosomal RNA is filed under the name uncultured microorganism. Its description in RNAcentral is "partial 16S ribosomal RNA". It matches the Rfam family "Bacterial small subunit ribosomal RNA", at positions 524 to 776 of the family's 1533-position model. The record is from RNAcentral.
UACGUAGGUCCCGAGCGUUGUCCGGAUUUAUUGGGCGUAAAGCGAGCGCAGGUGGUUUAAUAAGUCUGAUGUAAAAGGCAGUGGCUCAACCAUUGUGUGCAUUGGAAACUGUUAGACUUGAGUGCAGUAGAGGAGAGUGGAAUUCCAUGUGUAGCGGUGAAAUGCGUAGAUAUAUGGAGGAACACCGGUGGCGAAAGCGGCUCUCUGGCUGGUAACUGACGCUGAGGUGCGAGAGCGUAGGGAGCAAACAGG